This 45-nucleotide non-coding RNA is filed under the name Schistosoma margrebowiei. The record is from RNAcentral. Lineage: Eukaryota; Metazoa; Platyhelminthes; Trematoda; Strigeidida; Schistosomatidae.
ACCCAGAUGACGAGUCCCAAAUAGGACGAAACACUUGUCCAGGAU